Long non-coding RNA from Oncorhynchus tshawytscha (Chinook salmon), 1567 nucleotides. NCBI's taxonomy places the organism in Eukaryota, Metazoa, Chordata, Actinopteri, Salmoniformes, Salmonidae. The record is from Ensembl.
CCUAUUCCCUAUAUAGUGGCACCCUAUGCCCUAUAUAGUGGCACCCUGUUCCUUAUUUUCCCACAUUCUCUAUUCCCCUAUAAUGCCAAUAGGGUCCCAUUUGGGACGCACAGUUUGACUGGUUAAAUAUGGACGGUUUCCUUUAGUUGGUAAUUUAGGCGUCAGGGAUGCCCAUUUUCACCUUCUAACUCUGUUCUUCAAAGGGGUGAGUGUUGUGGAUGUUUAUUUAUAUAUAUAUAUAUAUAUAUAUAUGCCAUUUCUGCUGGUUAUAUGUUUUUCUUUACAGAUGCUAUUGUUGUUAAUGAAUCCAAUGCUAUAAGCUUUUUCACACUGCAGUGAUCUUAGCCCCAGGCUAAGACUGACCCUGGACCAGUUUAUCCUGUCUUCACGGUUCACACAAGCUUUUAGUGAUGACUUGUUUAAACCUCGCUGUCCGCCUGCCUGGGGGGGAAUAAACUGUUUCUCUUUUGAAAUGCGAUCUCGCGCCCUGUACAGAGAAUUCUGUGCAAGAGACGAGACAUCAACGUUUCUGAUCCAGGCGAAAUCAUGCAACAAUAUUUUAUUGUCAUGGGAUAGCCAUAAUCCAAGUACAUGUCUAAUGUGAAAACAGAGGAAAGAGCUUGAUGCCCUUCCAGCUGUAGAGUUUGUGGCUUCGGUUGGCUAGCUCAGUGAGAAGAAGUUAGCCAGCCGGCAGAGCAACCAAUUUUAUGAUUUAUUUGUAUUAUUAUUUUUAUUAGCCAUAGAAACCAAAUGUUUUUGCAUAGAUGAACGUAUUGUUUUUAUUUAUUUUUAGUUUUCGUCCUCUGAUAGAUGAAAUAGUAUAAAUGUAUUUAUUAAAACGGCAGAACGCAUCACAAGCGUAUGUAAGUUAAGUGAAUGUGCAGCUUUUGUGAUUGGACAGUAAAGAUUCUAUGCGUUGUUCUAAAAUCUCCCAUAGCCCAGGCCUGACGAGGCUCUUAGCCCUGGGCUAAGGUUGGUGUGAAUAUUCGCUUAGGCCUGGGCUAAAAUCUCCCAUAGCCCAGGCCUGACGAGGCUCUUAGCCCUGGGCUAAGGUUGGUGUGAAUAUUCGCUUAGGCCUGGGCUAAAAUCUCCCAUAGCCCAGGCCUGACGAGGCUCUUAGCCCUGGGCUAAGGUUGGUGUGAAUAUUUGCUUAGCCCUGGGCUAAAAUCUCCCAUAGCCCAGGCCUGACGAGGCUCUUAGCCCCGAGUUAAGGUGCAGUGUGAAUGCAUCUUUUCUAUGUGAAAGUUGGAACAAGUGUGUGUUCUUUCAAUCACAAAAUCUCCUUUUGUCAUUAAAGAUUUUUUUUUUCUCUCAACUAUCUCAGUCAUUGUUUCUCCUCUUUUUUGCCUUGUUCUGUCUGUUUCUAUAUAUUGUUAUUCUGCCUCCUCACUGAUACAAUAUUUUUUUAAAGUAUUUAAAAAAAGGCUCUUCCUAAGUUUCCUGUACGUUUCUAGCUAUGACAUGACAAGAAGUGUUAUAAGGCAGUAUUAGUAAAGCCACAUUACUACCGGAGGUGUUUUAUAAGGCUUUGUUUAUAACGUGUGUUCAGUACAAAAUAUAAUCCAAC